CGCCGGGGAAAGCCUUGAACUUGGCGGGGCCAGCCCCCAUAAUCCCGGGCAUGGUUGUAAUUCCGGCAAUCCGGAAGCGCUUCGGACGCGGGUUCGAUUCCCGCCACCUCCACCACUGGGGGGGUGUACUGGUUUCGACGGGGUGAGAGAAGGUGAGCAGGCAACUCGUCAGGCGAUCGACGUUAAUGAAGCAAAUCUCUAAACGCCAACGAUGAGCGUUUCGCACUGGCCGCUUAAGGCCUAUGCCGAGGCUGCUUGAGCCUUGUUACCAAAGAAAAGCCGGCGGGGACUUCGGUCCCCGUCGUCA
This 307-nucleotide transfer-messenger RNA is filed under the name Rhodocyclaceae bacterium. It matches the Rfam family "Betaproteobacteria transfer-messenger RNA". Rfam says of the family: Bacterial tmRNA, also known as 10Sa RNA or SsrA, is named for its dual tRNA and mRNA-like properties. Its role is to liberate the mRNA from a stalled ribosome. The record is from RNAcentral. Lineage: Bacteria; Pseudomonadati; Pseudomonadota; Betaproteobacteria; Rhodocyclales; Rhodocyclaceae.